This 730-nucleotide long non-coding RNA is filed under the name Polistes fuscatus (common paper wasp). RNAcentral describes it as "uncharacterized LOC122513975". The record is from RNAcentral. Lineage: Eukaryota; Metazoa; Arthropoda; Insecta; Hymenoptera; Vespidae.
CAUCUCGCAUCCCGCGUAGUCUUUUUCUUUUUAAAUUAAAACGUAAACGACUACGACGAAGAAGUUUCUUCGAGAAUAACGCAACUUUUGAAGAUAAGUUGUCACAGUCUCGAUACGUAACUUCAAAGAUUUUUAUUUACACGGGACCGUUCAUUCUUUUAAAGAAUAUUAAAUAUAUGAAAAAGGGGAAAAAGAAUAAAAAUAAAUUAAAAAGAAACGCGUAGAUGUAAUUCGCGAAUGAUUUUUGAGAUCGGAUAGCGAACCUUCGUCGAUGUUUACUCGGGCCAGGACAACAGCGAGUCGCAGGAUGCAACAAGGAACAAUAUUAUCUUUUUUUUAUUUUUUAUUUUUUUCUUCUUUCUCUUUCUCAUCUACCUCGCAAGAUAUUAUUUCUUUCAGAAUAAGUUCAUGUAACUCACCGAUAAAAAGCAUUUUCAUUCUAUCCAAAUCAAAAUAUCUAAGAGAUUCGAUGCAAUGAGAGAUCCUUAUUAUUUUUUCUUUUUUAUAUUAUCAAAUAUACACGGUGAGCCGUUUGAAUAUGAACAAAAAUAAGAACAACAUUUAUCGUAAAUAUAUGAGUCGGAAAUCGUAGAGGGAGGGGGCCGGAGUGGGAGUCCGUUUUUGAUUACAAAUCAAAUCACACGUAUAUAUAUACUAUAUAUAUAUAAUAAGUAUAUGUAUAGUCACCACGCGGAGGGUACCAAAAAAGGAAUAGAAAAUAAAAAUACAA